This is a long non-coding RNA of Episyrphus balteatus (marmalade hoverfly), 519 nucleotides long. RefSeq lists it as uncharacterized. The transcript is spliced from 3 exons. NCBI's taxonomy places the organism in Eukaryota, Metazoa, Arthropoda, Insecta, Diptera, Syrphidae. The record is from RefSeq and is a predicted model, not a curated record.
GUUUGUUUAAUUUAGUGGAAAUGGAAUAAGUUAUUUACGAGAAAGUCCGAAAUCAAGAAAAAGAUUCUAUGCAUUUCUAACCAGUUUUUGAUCAAGUUAAUGGGUCUGCGCGAGACAGCAGGAUCAAGAUCAUAGGUAAGCGCCUAAUAUGCCUUUCCACACAGAGAGUGCAUUGCCACUUUGAGAUUUUUUUUGGAAAGAUAAAGCUAGACUUAAAUAGAAUUAAAACAGAUGUCGAGGAAUCCAUAACACUGCAUAACUGAAAUCUCUAAACCCAAAAACAGAUCUUGAAAAUCGUUUCGUAGCCGAAUACAAUGAGGGACAUGUCCUCAUACAUAUAUCCAAUAUUUUUACCACUACAGAAAACAUUUUAGGAACCGGAUUCAAAAAAUUCACCAGAGCCAAUUUGACGGGAUAAGAUUAUAUACCAUCAACAAAAGACUUAGAAGUAUCUCAUGUACAACAAAUAUUAAAUAUAUAAUGCCUGAUCAAAUAGUAGUUGUGCUUUUUCUUGGUAUU